AUUGAACGCUGGCGGCAGGCCUAACUCAUGCAAGUCGAACGAGUGGCGGACGGGUGAGUAAUGUCUGGGAAACUGCAUGAUGGAGGGGGAUAACUACUGGAAACGGUAGCUAAUACCGCAUACCAUAGGAUGUGCCCAGAUGGGAUGAGCUAGUAGGUGGGGUAAAGGCGCACCUAGGCGACGAACCCUAGCUGGUCUGAGAUGAUGACCAGCCCCACUGGAACUGCAGCACGGUCCAGACUCCUAAGUGAUGCAGCAGUGUGGAAUAUUGCACAAUGGGCGCAAGACUGAGACAGCCAUGCCGCUUGUAUGAAGAAGGCCUUCGGGUUGUAGAGUACUUUCAGCGGGUGGGCGUUACCCGCAGAAGAAGCACCGGCUAACUCCGUGCCAGCCGCCGCGGUAAUAC
RNAcentral lists this ribosomal RNA (406 nucleotides) under uncultured bacterium. RNAcentral's name for it is "partial 16S ribosomal RNA". It matches the Rfam family "Bacterial small subunit ribosomal RNA", at positions 30 to 526 of the family's 1533-position model. The record is from RNAcentral.